Molecule: long non-coding RNA, 1594 nt
Filed under: Octopus vulgaris (common octopus)
Lineage: Eukaryota; Metazoa; Mollusca; Cephalopoda; Octopoda; Octopodidae
Source: RNAcentral
AAAAAUCCUGAAUUCGGUUCAAUUCCUAGAACAAGUUUCUUUUUCUUUUUCCAGGUAAAUUUAAACAUUUUCUCUGUAUAUUCCUGCCAGAAAUAGUUGAAUAAAAAUAGGUGUGUGAGUACGAAUUUUAGAUGGUAGUUGUUUUAGGUCAAGUCAAGCACUGAACCCAGCCUGUGAUUAAAGACAUUUCAUUCAUGGCCCCAAUUUCUACGCAUCCCAUCCAUCAAUAUGUCCUAGAACAAGUUUCUUUUUCCUUUUCCAGGUAAAUUUAAACAUUUUCUCUGUAUAUUCCUGUCAGAAAUAGUUGAAUAAGAAUAGGUGUGUGAGUACGAAUUUGGAUGGUAGAUGUUGUUUUAGGUCAAGUCAAGCACUGAACCCAGCCUGUGAUUAAAGACAUUUCAUUCAUGGCCCCAGUUUCUCCGCAUCCCAUCCAUCAAUAUGUCCUUCGGUCUCAUCUUUUUAAAAUCCGAUUGUAUUAUUAUUUGUAUAUUAUUUGAGGAAGAUUUAACCAUUAUCGCGCAGAUGGACAACCACGUAGGAGCUCCCUCGUAAUCCGGUUGGUGUGUGUGCGUAUAUAUGCUUCCCUUCCAUAAGGUGAGCAAAGGAUGAAGAAACAGACGGGAAGACGGUUUAGCCAAAUGUACCUGGUCUCAAAGGUGGGGCCUUAGUUCGGUAAACCGUUAAAUAGAGAACAAGUGCCAAGGUGUAUGUCAAAAGGCCGCAUAUUAUACCAACGACAUUGAAUAUCAAGGCCCUUUUGGACUGCUUCUUCGCGGUAUCCGUGUCGCCGAGUUGCCAGGCAUAAUUCGAUUUUAGUCCGUAAUGUCUGCCAAGGAGACCAAAUAUGAAAUUACAAGCGAGAAUUACAAAACAAGAGGUGUUGACGAAGUCCUUCGGUUUCUCGGACUGCUUGCUUCCUUGGACCACAACCGGGGCAGUCGUUUUGUCAAGGUUAACGUUGUUGUCCCUUUUACUGUACUCGGCGGCCCUGUAUUUUUCGGAAGGGUCUACGACGAUGCUGUGUGACACAGUCGGGGCCGUUGUGUGUACUUCUUCGUGGCUGAUAACAGGGGCCGAUGCGAAAUCAUGCGGAUUUCUCUCCAUAACUGCUUCCUUGCUUUCGACCUGCGGUAUGAAAAGCUGUCCCACUUAGUUCUAUUCUUUAUAUAUAUAUAUCAGAGUAUUUCACUCCAGCCGUCCGCUUUUGUGUACUGUGUCAACAUGACGGUACUCACGUCACACCUUAAACACACCUGUAUACGUGCUUCUAUGUAGAAAUACCUAUGUAUACGUAGGUGUGUAGAUAUUUAUGUUUAAUAUGCAAGCCUUGACUUCUUUUCAAUACAUUCCGUUUCCGUUGAUAUAUACGUAUUGGGGACCGCAUGCAUGAGAAAAUAUAAUAUAUCCUACAUACAUACGUUCAGAGUGAAUCACCAGAGACUUCUAAACGUAUGAAUACAUCCAAUAUUAAACACGGUUGGUCUCUUAUUAUUGUUGUUAUCCAUCUGUGUCCAGGCAUCGGGAGUGGUGAGACACAGGUGAACUAUUUAUAACUUUUAAUGUCACUGCUGCUGUGAUUACUGUUCGCUACUGC